Molecule: long non-coding RNA, 357 nt
Filed under: Elaeis guineensis (African oil palm)
Lineage: Eukaryota; Viridiplantae; Streptophyta; Magnoliopsida; Arecales; Arecaceae
Description: long non-coding RNA (EGUI_LNC041766)
Source: RNAcentral
CUGAUUUCAAACACAAUCUCAUAUCUAUAAGAAAAAUCACGCGAUUCUUGAUUGCAUUUUGACAUUCUUCCCUGCGCAUUGGCUUUUGGGAUGAAAAGAGAAUGAUUCAAGUGGGUCAGCAGUUGAUGCACUCUACAACUUUGAAGCAGCCCUCAAUUAUAUUACAGCUCUACGUGCAUGGGCUCCCCCAUCAAUGGAUUUGUGGCAUUGUUGUGUGGGCCGUCCUUUAAAUAGUCGCCCAUGUUCUAUAGCUAAGUCUCAUGAUUUAAUUUCCUUUGCGAAUUGCCAUUGUAAUGUUUGUCCUCUUGCAAAGUUGCUAGGUUUUGUGGAUUAAUUUGAAUUUUGCAAGGGAUACCU